GAUGAAGAACGUAGCGAAAUGCGAUAUGUAAUGUGAAUUGCAGAAUUCAGUGAAUCAUCGAAUCUUUGAACGCACAUUGCGCCCGUCAGUAUUCUGGCGGGCAUGCCUGUUCGAGCGUCAUUACGCCCCUCAAGUCCCCUGUGGACUUGGUGUUGGGGAUCGGCGAGGCUGGUUUUCCAGCACAGCCGUCCCUUAAAUUAAUUGGCGGUCUCGCCGUGGCCCUCCUCUGCGCAGUAGUAAAACACUCGCAACAGGAGCCCGGCGCGGUCCACUGCCGUAAAACCCCCCAACUUUUUAUAGUUGACCUCGAAUCAGGUAGGACUACCCGCUGAACUUAAGCAUAUCAAUAAGCGGAGGA
This 358-nucleotide unclassified non-coding RNA is filed under the name soil metagenome. RNAcentral describes it as "partial contains 5.8S ribosomal RNA, internal transcribed spacer 2, and large subunit ribosomal RNA". The stretch from base 1 to 120 matches the Rfam family "5.8S ribosomal RNA", at positions 35 to 154 of the family's 154-position model. The record is from RNAcentral.